Molecule: non-coding RNA, 81 nt
Organism: Paxillus rubicundulus Ve08.2h10
Lineage: Eukaryota; Fungi; Basidiomycota; Agaricomycetes; Boletales; Paxillaceae
Source: Rfam
GGCCGCCUGGCGAAAUGGCAUCGCGUCUGACUACGAUGCCGUGUGAUCAGGAGAUUGCAGGUUCGAGCCCUGCGGUGGUCA